UACGUAGGGACCAAGCGUUGUCCGGAUUUAUUGGGCGUAAAGAGCUCGUAGGUGGCUUAGUAAGUCGGGUGUGAAACCUCCAGGCUCAACCUGGAGACGCCACCCGAUACUGCUAUAGCUUGAGUUCGGUAGGGGAGCGUGGAAUUCCUGGUGUAGCGGUGAAAUGCGCAGAUAUCAGGAGGAACACCAGCGGCGAAGGCGGCGCUCUGGGCCGGUACUGACACUGAGGAGCGAAAGCGUGGGGAGCGAACAGG
This 254-nucleotide ribosomal RNA is filed under the name uncultured bacterium. RNAcentral describes it as "partial 16S ribosomal RNA". It matches the Rfam family "Bacterial small subunit ribosomal RNA", at positions 524 to 776 of the family's 1533-position model. The record is from RNAcentral.